RNAcentral lists this long non-coding RNA (5113 nucleotides) under Durio zibethinus. Its description in RNAcentral is "long non-coding RNA (DZIB_LNC001711)". The record is from RNAcentral. Lineage: Eukaryota; Viridiplantae; Streptophyta; Magnoliopsida; Malvales; Malvaceae.
CAACUGUCAAUCCAAUACCAAAAUUCCAAUCCACAAUCUUCAUUCCUUUACCUGGGGACACAAUUGGAGGAAUCAGUUUUGUUUGACAAGGUCUAAUUAUUCCAUGGCAGAGAGCCUCGUUCCCUUCAAAGCUUGAAUAAGGGAAUGUCAUAAACUGACCUCCUGAAGGUAUAUUCCCAUAGAGCUCAUUGUAUGAUACAUUGAAUUUUGACAAAAAGCUGAGAUGUACCAGAGAAUUAGGUAUUUCGCCAGAGAGUUUGUUACAAGACAAAUCCAACACUUCCAAGUUUGUCAUCCCUGAUACACUAUCUGGAAUGGUUCCUGAAAGUUUGUUCCCUUUCAAACUCAAAACAUGAAGCUUUUUCAAAUUUCCAAAGCUUAUCCAGAUUGGUCCGGUAAGCUUGUUGAAACUCAAGUCAAUAGUCGCUGGCAAGCCCCAUAUAUUGUUAUAAAUCAAGCGCGGCCCACCUUGUUCUAUGCUUUUUUCCAUUGGGAAGCCUGCCGAGAGUUCCUUCAGUUGAACAGUAUCGUUAACAAGACUAUCAAGUCCAGUUAAACUUUCUGGUAUUUCUCCGGAAAAGGAAUUGUUAGACAAGUCCAAGUAAAUGAGAUAUCUGAAAUCGCCUACCCAAAAAGGAAUGGACCCUCCCAAUGAAUUCCAAGACAGAUCCAGAAAUUGCAACAUUUUGCAACCCCUCAACCACAUUGGAAGGGAACCUCUAAGGUAACAAAAUGGAAUAAUAAGUGCCUUAAGACUUCUGAACUGCAAAUUGACGUUGCUAGGCAUCUGUUCGUGAUAAAAGUUCAAACCAAGGACCAGAAUGGUCAAGUUCUUGCAGUCUUGAAGAAUUUCAAGUGCUGUGGAUAUAUUAUUGAUGCUAGUGUUUGAGAGAGAGAGGAAUUGCAGUGCCUGCAGAUUUUUGAAGUGGAAUGGAAUCCCACCGGUGAAUUUGUUACGUGCAAGAUCCAGACUUCUCAAGCUCUGACAAAAGGAUAGACCAUCAGGAACUGGACCAUGAAAAUUAUUAGAAGCAAGACGAAGUGAGGUGAUACUGGUCAUUACAGAACAAUUUAUACUUACCGGACCAUCCAGACUGUUGUUGUGCAGAUCAAUCAUCAAAAUCGAAGGAGAAUUCACCAAAGAAAUAGGCAAUAAGCCACUUAAUAUGUUUGAGCCGGCAGAGAAGGACUCCAACUUUCUCAGUCUCCCAAAAACAUCUGGAAGACUUCCAUCGAAGCCAUUGGAAGAGAUAUCCAAUUCAACGAGGUUAGAGAUGUUACCAAUUCCGUAAUUCAGAGGCCCUGAGAACCUAUUUUCUUGAAGGUGCAGUAUUCUAAGAUGUUGUAACCGGAAUAAAUUCUCAGGGAAAGUUCCAGAUAGACCAUUGCCAUUAAGAUAAACAUACUGCAAUGAAGUACAAUUCUCCAAAUAUGUUGAAGUUUCUCCGAACAAGUUAUUUGCAAGAUCAAGAUACUGGAUAUUAGAAGAAGUUUUACAAAUUUCUGAGGUAAGGAUGCUAGAGAAAUAAUUCUUUGAAAGGUCAAAAUACUUCACUGAGGGCAAAUGGAUUAUGGUGGGAAGUGAACCAACGAAAUAAUUGUUACUCAAGUCAAGGACUUCCAGGUUCUGGAAACGAAACAAUUUGGUAGGAAUUUCACCAUCGAGAGAAUUAUGAGAGAGGUUCAGGAUUCGUAGUUGCUCCAGUCCAACCAAACUCUCACAUAUCGUUCCUGAAAGUCUUUUGUUCCCAAGUUCUAGCCCAACCACUCUUUCAUUUAAAACAGAGGAAUUAUCACAAGUGAUACCCGUCCAGGAGCAACAAUUGAGGCUGUUCCAGUUCCAUCCGCCAAUAUCUGAUUCUAAACACUUGAUGAAACCUUUGAGGGCUGUUAGGUCAUUCAAAUUGCAUGCCGGUUGUUGAGAUCCCUGGAUCCUUUGCCCAAACAUGACAGCCAACAAAAUGAAAGCCAAAGAGACCUUUGGGAUGCCCAUGAAGGUCAAUUUAACAAAGGGAAACAAAAGUUGUUACCGGUUUUUGCUAAGCUCUGAUGUUAUACAUUUUCCUUUUUUUUUUGGUUUCCUCUGUAACGUUUUAAGGGGGACGAAGGUCGCAGAACCCAUGACUUUGGUGGGAGCUUGGACAAUCCAUCACUGUUGCUUCUUGACUUCAAAGAUGAUUAAAUGAUCUUAUUGACUUUUUCAACCAAAAUUUGUCAACAUCCCCGUACGCGUUCGUUCAUAAACCCAUAGUUUCUGUCAAAAAAAAAAAAAAAGACCAUUGAUAAACUUCAUGUCCGCAUGAGAGUCGUUUUACAGUGAAGGUUUACCAAUAUUUUGACAAGAAAUAAUACAUUAACAUCCGAUUCACGCGUACCUGCCUCAAGAACAAUGUGUUGAUUAAUCAUUUCAUUGCUUUCCAUUAAUGGACUUUUUUGUUUAUAGGCCAAUGUGUAACAAAUGGUUAAUGUUUAAAGUCAUUAAAGUAAUAAUUAUUGUAAGCAUUAAUCAUUGCAAGCUACAAGCAACUUAUUGGUGUCAUGAGCUCCACUAUUAAUUUGAUGACUGUUGUAUGCUUAACUUUCAUUUUUAUGUGUGUAAAAAAUAAAAUUUAUUACAUCAUAAUUUAUAUUGACGAAAUAUAUAUUUAAUUUUUGUUAAACUCAUAAAUUUUUUAUUAAAAUACUAAAUAAAAAUAUUUUUAUAUCAUAUUAUUGUAUUUAAAUUUAUCAAAUUUAUUUGUAUAUACAAAUUCAAUCACUCAACUAUAGUUUGAUUGUAAAUAUAAAUGCAACCACUUAGAUAAAUAUUACCUUAUCCUCUUACUGAACUGGUGAGAUGAAAAUAAAAAAUUAAUAUUAAGUACUUUAUUUUAAAAGUUCAUUGAUAAAUUAUUUAUAUAUUUUCUAUUAUUAUUUAUAAUAUUAAAAAAAUCUUAAAAUUUUAAUCAAUAAGAUCAAUGAACAUGUUAUUUAUUAUAUAAUAAUAAAAUUUAUUUAUCAUAUAAUAAUAAAAUUUUAUUUAUUAUUAAUUAAUAAAAUUAUUUUAAAAUUUAUAAAUAAAAAAAUCAAAAUAAAAAAAAAGUAAAAUGGCAUGAAAAACCUUAUAACAUUAAGGGCAAAAAUAAUAAUAAUAACAAUGGGCAAAAUAGGAAUAAAAGCCACAAUUGAAUCUCGACAAAAGUUCCAAUAAAUACACGAUGGCUCUUACCUCCAGUGAAUGAACGGAGGCCCUCGCACCUCAACGGUGUUAUCCAAACACCCGGACGGUGCGAUUUGCACCAAAAAAAGGGGACCAAUUGCGCUGAAACGGAAGCGCGAUGGCUUCCAAAUGAGCCCUAAAUAGAUCAGAAUUGGAAAAGUCUUAACUAACUCAUGUUGAUGGGAUACUGUUGGGAGUAUUUAGUAUUUACUGUAAUUUUAGCAAAGCCUUUUUUUUAAUUUUACACGUAUUAGCUGGAUUUAUUUGCUUCUAAAAUACUGCUAGCUGCCCUUGUUCCCACUUAAUUUCACUUCAGUAGGAAGAGAGACUUCCAUCUAUUUGCCCAUAUGACAUGAGACAUCUUUCCUUGACUAACGCAAGGAAAACAAUGAAAACUCCUCCUCCAACUCUGUGACCUAAUUUGUUUUUUGGCUUUGCUUAGAAAAGUCCUUAAGAGAUGAUAAAGAAUAAUUCUUUUUCUUUUUAAUAUAUGUUAUAUGGUAUAGUUAUAAUCAUGGAUUUUUUAUAUGCUCAUGUCAUGUGCAACCAUAACAAACAUAUAUACUAUAUGAAUAUGAUGAUCUCAUACAGAACCCAAACCAUCAACAUAUAUGGGAAUAAAAGUAUAGUUUCUUUUUCCUGAUAAUUUCCAUCCUUAAAUUCUGAUAUGGCAAUAGACCAUGAUGAGGAAUGUAUCCCUUCCAGCUCUCUUCUUGAUAAAUCAUCCAUAAUGAGUACAUGAUAUGCAUCCAUGAUCCAUACAUGCCAAAAGUUGAGCCCGUUAUCUUACUUUUAUCUUAAACUUAUCUGUAAGAAGACAAAUCUGUCGCACUUAUUGAAGUGUUACUACGGAAUUUUGCAAUUCGGAAUUUUGGAAGAGGAUAGAAAGCCAUCACUUUGUUAUGACAGCGCUUCUGCUUGCAUGAUUAAUGCUUCAUUCAUACCCUUAAAAACUUAUUUCAUAGAGAAAAUUUUUUGAAUUCCUGACUUCAAUGUCAUAGAUGCCAAGCAAGAAUAAGGUUAAUUCCUGAAAAGAAGAGUUCAGUUGAUGAGUUCCAGAAAUCAAAGGGCUUGGAAGGUUGUGAUUAUGCAAAAUGCGCCGGAGAAUGGAAGCAUCCUGUUUGAACGAGCUGCUUUCGGGAUUGCAUCUAACAGCUAUAGCCAUAUAUUAUAGAAAUUUUACCGUUCUACGUUUUGCUAUGAUAGGAAUGAUGGUGUCUCCAAUUAUUUUACCUCAGUGGAAAGCAUCAGCUCUUUGUCUUCAAUUCUUUAGUUGAAAGGAAAAAGUUUAAGGUAGAGAUUCUGCAUAUUUCGUUAAUCAUUAUUUUUGCGAGAGUGGAAAUUGUAAAUUUGAAAAGUUGAUAGUAGGAUAUAAUUAUUUGGCUGACGUAACAAGACGUUUCAUUUUUCUUCUCUUGGAGUCAUAGAAGGUGAUGGCUUGAAGCAGCAGAAGUUCCAGACGGUGGCUGUUAUGGAAAAUAUCAUAAAUUAGAAGCAAAUUAGAACUAUGAUAGUAUGCUUUACGGUUUGUCUUAGAUCAUUACAACAUGAACAAAUUUAAGAGAAACAGAAGGAAGAAGAAAGAACCAUAUGGGGAAAAGCAGAGGAGCUAUAUAAAUAUAUAUAUAUAUAUAUAUUAUAAAGAAUAUGCUUCUCAUCCUUCGGAAAGUACCCAGCCAGACUUGAAGCAAAAGGCGACAGUGAGACCGAAACCAACUGCCGCUCCGAUACCAAAAUUCCAAUCCACAAUCUUCAUUCCUUUACUUGGAGAGACAAGUGGAGGAAUCAGUUUUGUCUGACAAGGUCUAAUUAUUCCAUUGCAGAGUUCCUCGUUCCCCUCAAAGCUUGAAUCAGGGAAUGUCAUAAACUGACCUCCUGAAGGUAUAUUCCCAUAGAGCUCAUUGUAUGAUACAU